UUUGGGACUUCCUCUUGUUUCAAGCCAUUCCUGCAUAUGACGCACCUUGGAGAUGGGACCUUGCAAUUGUCCUUGCACUGUGCCCCGGUCAGUGUUCUGGACCCAGCCUACCAAUCCCAGCUUUUUACCCUCAGCCUAAGGGGGGAAAAAAGAGAGAGAGAUCCAGUGAGAUUGAGGAAAACAAGAAAAGAAAAGCAGCUGGUGAUCAACCUCUCAACAGCAAACCAUGAGACUACAUAACUAUCAGGUUUUCACUUGACUUUCUUCUCUUCUGUCUAAAUAAUCACAAUGCCUUUAGGCUUAUGAAAAGCAUCUAAUCAUUAUAGUGGCUUAUCCUUUUUAAUGUUCUUUCCUUUUAUUAAACUGUGGCAAGACUGAAUGUUUAGGAAAGGUAGCAAUGUUUUGGAGGUAAUUUUAUUUUUGUAUAAAUUUAUGAUUAGAAUAUUAAGUCACUGAUUGUUAAAGUAAUCUAUCUAAAUAGAAGGUGUUGGAUUACAAAAGAAAAUGGGAGUUAACAUGAUUGCAUGUCAAAAUGUGGGAAAUUGCUGGAGUUGGCCAAAGAAAACGUUAUGCAUAGCAAAAAAAAUGUUUGAUGAGGAAUGUAAGUAUCCAUCAAAUCAAAGACAUGUUCAAAGCAAAGACAUGUUUGCUUAAUGAACAAAACAGACUCCAACCAAAUAAAUAGCCAUUUGAGGGAUACAAAGGAAAUUAAAGAAUGAAGAAAAAUAGAAGAUGCCUACCCGAUGCACUGCUAAGUGCCAAAGAAGAUACCAUAAAAGAAGAAUGCUGAGAAUGAAUUUUGAGUAAGACUCCACAUCCAACUGACUUGGUAUAACAACUGCCCUCUUCUGCUUCAAAUUAACCCACGGGAGCUGACUAUCUCCAGUUCUUAAGAGAUAUCUUAUAUGUAUGGUAAAUAGCUGUAAGAAUGUGCAGUUUUAAACAGGAGGUUUAACAGUCAAAUAAAUCUUUAAAAAUUUGCAGUGUGA
Long non-coding RNA from Macaca mulatta (Rhesus monkey), 989 nucleotides. RefSeq lists it as uncharacterized. The record is from RefSeq and is a predicted model, not a curated record. Lineage: Eukaryota; Metazoa; Chordata; Mammalia; Primates; Cercopithecidae.